Molecule: small nuclear RNA, 167 nt
Organism: Protopterus annectens (West African lungfish)
Lineage: Eukaryota; Metazoa; Chordata; Ceratodontiformes; Protopteridae
Product: U1 spliceosomal RNA
Exons: 1
Source: RefSeq, a predicted model, not a curated record
AUACUUACCUAGCAGGGACAAUACCACAAUCAAGAAGGCUGUUUCCCCAGGGUGAGGCUGUUCCAUUGCACACUUCGGUCAGGUUGACCUCUGUGAUUUUUCCAAAUGUGGGAACUCAACUGCAUAAAUUAUGGUAGCUCUAACAGGUGUUGUACAUUAAUUUAGGU